GACUCCUAGAACCAGACACGAGCUUUCUCUCCUGGCACUUGCCCUGUUGAGGCAGCUCAUAGAGUGAGGAAAGGCAGAGUAGACAGAACACAUUGGAAGAAACCGAUUCUGCAACCUCCCUUUCUGGCAGAUGCUCAGGAGGCAGCAUUUCUGCAGACUUUCUCAUGGGGAGUAGGGCUUGCUGCAGAGAUGGUGCUCCUGGGGGAAGGGGACAGGGCAGUGGGGGGUAGGGUGGGGCACAUUUCUCCUGGGGCUGCUGCAAAUCCCACUAAGUGUAAUCUUUGCUGGAUAAUAACAAGGUUGUCACUUUAAGCAAAAAUUACUAAAGGGCUGGCUGGGGCACCAGCAUCAGAGCUGCUCGACUCUGGAAGGCUAAGAGCAGUGGUUCUCAAACUCUGUGCCCGUGGAACACUCGGGUUCUGUGAGCCACCACAGAAGGAGUGAGAGGUUGAGGGGUUGAUGCUGUGGAAGACGGACGAGAAGGCACUGCUCGAGAAGCGUGGGGAGGACAGGGGAAAGCUCAUGCUCACGGGCCGCUCUGUAACCAAGACAAGCCAUGGAGGAAUGGAGGACUGCUUUUGUUCUGAGCCUCCCCAGAAAAGUAGUUUCAGGCACCAACCACGGGCCGGCGAGAAGCCACGUGGGCCACCUGGAAGAACGGAGAUGGUGUCCCCAGGUUACCUCUCAUCAUGCCUGGGACAUCCCCGCCCCUCUUCUUCAGCUCCCCAUAGCAGCCAUCACAGACCUUGGCCAUCCGGUCCUUGAGGCGACUGCAUCAAAGAACCAGGUAGCACUGUGGAGUACUACGUAGCAACCAAAAGGAACUGAUGGUACACACGACAGCAUGGGUGAAUUUCGAAGACAUGCCAAGUGAAAGAAGCCAGACACAGAGGAGGAUACACUGCUUCAUAACAUUUAUAUGAAGUACCAGAUGAGGCAAAGCUAACCUGUAGUGAUGGAAAUUAGGCCAGUGGUUGCCCGAACAGGGGGUGGAGGAAGUGAGUGCUAAGAGGCACAGGUGAACAUUCAAGAAAUAUUCUGUAUCUUGGAGCGCCUGGAUGGCUCAGUCGGUUAAGCGCCGACUUUGGCUCGGGUCGUGAUCUCACGGUUCGUGGGUUCAAG
Herpailurus yagouaroundi (jaguarundi) is the source of this 1122-nucleotide long non-coding RNA. RefSeq lists it as uncharacterized. The transcript has 4 exons. The record is from RefSeq and is a predicted model, not a curated record. NCBI's taxonomy places the organism in Eukaryota, Metazoa, Chordata, Mammalia, Carnivora, Felidae.